GUGAGUGGAAUGUGGAAUGAAACAAAAUAGAAAUAGAAAACAGCAUGCAAGAUGCCAACUAUAUAAACGAGAUAUCACUGCUGUGUGUAAGUAGUAGAUUUCGGAAUCGGAAGUAUGUUACGGAGUUGCCAUCAGUGGCAAUUUUUGUUUGAAUUGUGAUGCUUGAUGGCAAAAUUUCAAAACAUGAUACCACUCUAUUUCUGUAAAGACUGAGAGGAAAGCGGGGUUGUUUUUAAUGUUUUCGGGGGAUGAGAAAUGAAACUAUGUUGCAAGUUUCUGCAAAUGCCAUUAAUAAAUUAGGGUGAUUUUUGCAAAUGACAAAGCGUGUCAUGUGGUAAA
Molecule: long non-coding RNA, 339 nt
Organism: Episyrphus balteatus (marmalade hoverfly)
Lineage: Eukaryota; Metazoa; Arthropoda; Insecta; Diptera; Syrphidae
Exons: 2
Source: RefSeq, a predicted model, not a curated record